GCACUUGUAACUUAACUGGAAAAGUAUGAGUCUUCGAAACUUAGUAAUAGUGGUUCAAAUCCAUUCAAGUGUU
This 73-nucleotide transfer RNA is filed under the name Linnemannia hyalina. RNAcentral's name for it is "Mortierella hyalina tRNA". It matches the Rfam family "tRNA". From Rfam's summary of the family: Transfer RNA (tRNA) molecules are approximately 80 nucleotides in length. Their secondary structure includes four short double-helical elements and three loops (D, anti-codon, and T loops). RNAcentral also lists the same sequence under 1 other name. The record is from Rfam by way of RNAcentral. Lineage: Eukaryota; Fungi; Mortierellomycota; Mortierellomycetes; Mortierellales; Mortierellaceae.